RNAcentral lists this unclassified non-coding RNA (473 nucleotides) under Hevea brasiliensis (rubber tree). Lineage: Eukaryota; Viridiplantae; Streptophyta; Magnoliopsida; Malpighiales; Euphorbiaceae. The record is from RNAcentral.
GAUUUACUCAGCUGAGGAGUCAUCGGUGUUUUUCUAAGAGAAUAGACUGCAGAGGUGGAUGAAACUAUAGAACUUAUUGAGACAGUCUGUUGAAAUGAAUUCAACGACGUCCAUUUGUCCAAUGCCUGUUAUUGUUGCCAGGUCUCAUAUGAGCAUUCUUAAGGCCAACACCUUGAUUUGGGCCCUUCUUUGGGAUAUCACGCAACUCCAUAACCUGUAUGGUCCGCUGCCUCUUGGCUUUUUCAGCUUCUUGGUACCGCUCCUGGAGCUUUCUUUUAGUCGCCUCGAGUUUGACUUGAACAGCAUCCUCAUCUGAAUGUCUAAGCUUAUUCUGUUGAGACGCCACAGGCCUCUUUUGAAUUGUGCCUUUAUCAGAUUUCUGCUGGAAGUUCAUCUCGUUAACCUUGAGCUUCUGCUCCAAGGCUGGUUUUGUCGGUCUUCCAGGCCCAAAUUCACCUCCAGAUGGCUUAGUU